Molecule: ribosomal RNA, 441 nt
Filed under: uncultured bacterium
Lineage: Bacteria
Description: bacterial SSU rRNA
Rfam family: Bacterial small subunit ribosomal RNA
Source: RNAcentral
UGGCUCAGAACGAACGCUGGCGGCAUGCCUAACACAUGCAAGUCGAACGAGACCUUCGGGUCUAGUGGCGCACGGGUGCGUAACGCGUGGGAAUCUACCCUUGGGUUCGGAAUAACUCAGAGAAAUUUGAGCUAAUACCGGAUGAUGUCGCAAGACCAAAGAUUUAUCGCCCAAGGAUGAGCCCGCGUAGGAUUAGCUUGUUGGUGAGGUAAAAGCUCACCAAGGCGACGAUCCUUAGCUGGUCUGAGAGGAUGAUCAGCCACACUGGGACUGAGACACGGCCCAGACUCCUACGGGAGGCAGCAGUGGGGAAUAUUGGACAAUGGGCGAAAGCCUGAUCCAGCAAUGCCGCGUGAGUGAUGAAGGCCUUAGGGUUGUAAAGCUCUUUUACCCGGGAUGAUAAUGACAGUACCGGGAGAAUAAGCCCCGGCUAACUCCGUG